GAAAUGCGAUAAGUAAUGUGAAUUGCAGAAUUCAGUGAAUCAUCGAAUCUUUGAACGCACAUUGCGCCCGCCAGUAUUCUGGCGGGCAUGCCUGUUCGAGCGUCAUUUCAACCAUCAAGUCCCCGGCUUGUGUUGGGGACCUGCGGCUGCCCGCAGGCCCUGAAAAACAGUGGCGGGCUCGCUGUCACACCGAGCGUAGUAGCAUACAUUCUCGCUCAGGGCGUGCUGCGGGUUCCGGCCGUUAAACGACCUUCAUAACCCAAGGUUGACCUCGGAUCAGGUAGGAAUACCCGCUGAACUUAAGC
This 305-nucleotide unclassified non-coding RNA is filed under the name plant metagenome. RNAcentral describes it as "partial contains 5.8S ribosomal RNA, internal transcribed spacer 2, and large subunit ribosomal RNA". The stretch from base 1 to 105 matches the Rfam family "5.8S ribosomal RNA", at positions 50 to 154 of the family's 154-position model. The record is from RNAcentral.